GAUGAACGCUAGCGGCAGGCUUAAUACAUGCAAGUCGAGGGGCAGCAGGUCUGUAGCAAUACAGAUGCUGGCGACCGGCAAACGGGUGCGGAACACGUACGCAACUUACCGUUAAGAGGGAGAUAGCCCGGGGAAACCCGGAUUAAUACCCCAUACUAUCAUCAGGUGUCCUCACCCGGUGAUUAAAGUCUUGAAUAAAGACGCUUAACGAUGGGCGUGCGGCUGAUAGGUAGUUGGCAGGGUAACGGCCUACCAAGCCUAUGAUCAGUAACUGGUGUGAGAGCACGACCAGUCACACGGGCACUGAGACACGGGCCCGACUCCUACGGGAGGCAGCAGUAAGGAAUAUUGGUCAAUGGACGCAAGUCUGAACCAGCCAUGCCGCGUGAAGGAUGAAGGCCCUCUGGGUUGUAAACUUCUUUAUCCGGGACGAAACCACCUUUUCCAAAGGUGUUGACGGUACCGGAGGAAUAAGCACCGGCUAACUCCGUGCCAGCAGCCGCAGU
Molecule: ribosomal RNA, 506 nt
Filed under: uncultured bacterium
Lineage: Bacteria
Description: bacterial SSU rRNA
Rfam family: Bacterial small subunit ribosomal RNA
Source: RNAcentral